GACCACAGUGUCGCAUGGCACAGGGGUCAAAGGAUUUAUCCGACUGAAAGAUGGGCUCGCGUCCCGAUUAGCUAGAUGGUGAGGUAACGGCCCACCAUGGCGACGAUCGGUAGCCGGACUGAGAGGUUGAACGGCCACAUUGGGACUGAGACACGGCCCAGACUCCUACGGGAGGCAGCAUG
RNAcentral lists this ribosomal RNA (182 nucleotides) under uncultured bacterium. RNAcentral describes it as "partial 16S ribosomal RNA". It matches the Rfam family "Bacterial small subunit ribosomal RNA", at positions 173 to 353 of the family's 1533-position model. The record is from RNAcentral.